AGCAUUUCCGGUGUAGAGGUCACAGGCGUGAAACGAGGCACGAUGAUGUGAACUUCUCACUGCAGUAAACUGAACCUCAAAGCAAAUAUAUGGAGUUCCCAGGUCAAAGACAACCUGAUAAUUUAGUCGCUCCAACCCUGAGAGGAAGAAUGGACCGCGUGUUACCCUCUGAACGUCGCACAUCUAAGUGGGCAGGUCUCCCCAUGGAGUCCAGAUGAGCUGGGCGGGGUGUUCGUCGUACAGCAUGAGCAAUGGAUUGCGUAACGGAGGGAUCUCAGCCUGGAAACAUGAACCCACGUUGAUCCGUCUACACA
Trichomycterus rosablanca is the source of this 314-nucleotide long non-coding RNA. RefSeq lists it as uncharacterized. The record is from RefSeq and is a predicted model, not a curated record. The transcript is spliced from 3 exons. NCBI's taxonomy places the organism in Eukaryota, Metazoa, Chordata, Actinopteri, Siluriformes, Trichomycteridae.